ACCGCACCGAACUUCUUCCGCACC
This 24-nucleotide non-coding RNA is filed under the name Arabidopsis thaliana (thale cress). The record is from RNAcentral. Lineage: Eukaryota; Viridiplantae; Streptophyta; Magnoliopsida; Brassicales; Brassicaceae.